UACAGAGGGUGCAAGCGUUAAUCGGAAUUACUGGGCGUAAAGGGCGCGUAGGCGGUUAAAUAAGCUAGAUGUGAAAUAACUGGGCUUAACCUGGUAGAGCAUAUAGGACUGUUAGACUAGAGAGGGGUAGAGGUGAGCGGAAUUUCCGGAGUAGCGGUGAAAUGCGUAGAUACCGGAAAGAACACCAGAGGCGAAGGCGGCUCACUGGACUCUAACUGACGCUGAGGCGCGAAAGCAUGGGGAGCAAACAGGAUUAGAUACCCUGGUAGUCCAUGCUGUAAACGAUGAGAACUAGAUGUUAUGAGGCAAAAGGCCUGAUAGUGUCGAAGCAAACGCGAUAAGUUCUCCGCCUGGGGAGUACGGCCGCAAGGCUAAA
This 376-nucleotide ribosomal RNA is filed under the name uncultured bacterium. Its description in RNAcentral is "bacterial SSU rRNA". It matches the Rfam family "Bacterial small subunit ribosomal RNA", at positions 524 to 898 of the family's 1533-position model. The record is from RNAcentral.